This 520-nucleotide ribosomal RNA is filed under the name uncultured Entrophospora. RNAcentral's name for it is "SSU rRNA". It matches the Rfam family "Eukaryotic small subunit ribosomal RNA", at positions 569 to 1083 of the family's 1831-position model. Lineage: Eukaryota; Fungi; Glomeromycota; Glomeromycetes; Entrophosporales; Entrophosporaceae. The record is from RNAcentral.
AGCAGCCGCGGUAAUUCCAGCUCCAAUAGCGUAUAUUAAAGUUGUUGCAGUUAAAAAGCUCGUAGUUGAAUUUCGGGAUUGGCGCAUCGGUCGUGCCUUACGGGGUAUGAACUGGUGCAGUCAAUUUCUCACCUUCUGGAGAACCGCGAUGUCCUUAAUUGGGUGUCGCGGGGAACCAGGACCUUUACUUUGAAAAAAUUAGAGUGUUUAAAGCAGGCAUUUUUGCUUGAAUACAUUAGCAUGGAAUAAUAAAAUAGGACGGCAUGGUUCUAUUUUGUUGGUUUCUAGGACCACCGUAAUGAUUAAUAGGGAUAGUUGGGGGCAUUAGUAUUCAAUUGUCAGAGGUGAAAUUCUUGGAUUUAUUGAAGACUAACUACUGCGAAAGCAUUUGCCAAGGAUGUUUUCAUUAAUCAAGAACGAAAGUUAGGGGAUCGAAGACGAUCAGAUACCGUCGUAGUCUUAACCAUAAACUAUGCCGACUAGGAAUCAGACGAUGUUAAUUUUUUAAUGACUCGUUUUG